ACGGAAGGCAGCAGUGGGGAAUAUUGGACAAUGGGCGCAAGCCUGAUGCAGCGAUGCCGCGUGAGGGAAGAAGGUUUUCGGAUUGUAAACCUCUGUCAACAGGGACGAAAAUGACGGGACCUGUGAAGGAAGCUCCGGCUAACUACGUGCCAGCAGCCGCGGGAAUACGUAGGGAGCAAGCGUUAUCCGGAAUUACUGGGUGUAAAGGGAGUGUAGGCGGGACUGUAAGCCAGAUGUGAAAUAUGCCGGCUCAACUGGCAGACUGCAUUUGAAACUGCGGUUCUUGAGUGAAGUAGAGGUAAGCGGAAUUCCUAGUGUAGCGGUGAAAUGCGUAGAUAUGAGGAGGAACAUCAGUGGCGAAGGCGGCUUACUGGGAUUUAACUGACGCUGAGGCUCGAAAGUGUGGGGAGCAAACAGGAUUAGAUACCCUGGUA
Molecule: ribosomal RNA, 434 nt
Filed under: uncultured Ruminococcus sp.
Lineage: Bacteria; Bacillati; Bacillota; Clostridia; Eubacteriales; Oscillospiraceae
Description: partial 16S ribosomal RNA
Rfam family: Bacterial small subunit ribosomal RNA
Source: RNAcentral